Molecule: ribosomal RNA, 236 nt
Filed under: Aurantiochytrium limacinum
Lineage: Eukaryota; Bigyra; Thraustochytrida; Thraustochytriidae
Description: partial Bacterial large subunit ribosomal RNA
Rfam family: Bacterial large subunit ribosomal RNA
Source: RNAcentral
GAUGGGCCCUACAAGGUUACUGACUUCAGCCAAACUCCGAAUGCCGGGAAGUGAGAGCGUGGCAGUGAGACUGUGGGGGAUAAGCUUCAUAGUCGAGAGGGAAACAGCCCAGAUCGCCGGCUAAGGUCCCCAAGUCGUGGCUAAGUGGGAAAGGAUGUGGGACUCCCAAAACAACCAGGAGGUUGGCUUAGAAGCAGCCAUCCUUUAAAGAAAGCGUAAUAGCUCACUAGUCGAGU